UACGUAGGGGGCAAGCGUUGUCCGGAUUUAUUGGGCGUAAAGAGCUCGUAGGCGGUUCCGUAAGUCGAGUGUGAAAAAUCUGGGCUCAACCCAGUGGAGCACUCGAUACUGCGGUGACUAGAGUACGGUAGAGGAGUGUGGAAUUCCUGGUGUAGCGGUGAAAUGCGCAGAUAUCAGGAGGAACACCGGUGGCGAAGGCGGGUCUCUGGGCCGAUACUGACGCUGAGGAGCGAAAGCGUGGGGAGCGAACAGG
RNAcentral lists this ribosomal RNA (253 nucleotides) under uncultured bacterium. RNAcentral's name for it is "partial 16S ribosomal RNA". It matches the Rfam family "Bacterial small subunit ribosomal RNA", at positions 524 to 776 of the family's 1533-position model. The record is from RNAcentral.